GGCGGCGGGCGGUGGGUGACGAGCGGCGGGCCUUCCCGGGAGGCGGCGGCGGCCAGGGAGUUUGCCUGCUGGAAACCGCGCGCCUGGGAGGGCGUCUCAGGUGAGUUGACACGUUGGUGCUGGAACGAGUGCACCCCGAAGUACGACUGUUGGCACAUUCAGCCCCUUGCGCAGUGUCCUGUGUCGGGGUAGUUGACCUUCGUGCACACGGUCGGGGAAUCUCCCUACUGCCUGCCCCCAGAGGCGUUGCAGGUGUGGCUUGUGUCACACGUGUGUCAUUCGGUGGCAGAAAGAAGAGAGGCUUAUCUACGCCCAGUGUUCCAGCUCGUGGACGUCUGGAUGAUGGAUAGUCUGACACCCGACCAAGCGCUUUGGGCCUUGCCUGAGGCCCCCCUGUGAAAACCCUCCCACUGUCUCCUAGUUCUUGGAUAGUCUCAGAUGGGCACGUGGUCGUAGGUAGUGGGCCACUCGAUUUCAGGUAGGCAGAACAAAGGACGCUUCUCAGUAGGACCUUCCUGCCACCUGCCUGGCCGGCAGGGUAGGUUUUUCAGAAUCCUGCAGAAGCAGGGGAGGUUUGCCGGAACCUGGUCCGGUUAACAGUAACGAUGACAGCCGACGUUUAUUAUACUCUCAUUUCGGGCUGAGCGUUUUUGUUCCUUAAUACAGGAACCAGGGCAACGGCUGUUGCCCCGGAGGUGCCCAGAAAAACUUCGCGCCACCAUCCAGACCGAGGUAAGAGGAGAGACGAAGCUGGCCUCCAGGCUGGUGGGAGGGGACGGCUGCCCUGCAGGUGCUGGACCUGCCGGCACCCCAGAUCCAGCUGCUCUGCUGUACCUGGGACAUCAGGGCAAAUAGGAAGUGGCUAUUUCUACGCUCAGUGCUCAGAACAGUGAGCACUAAGAAUGGUUUGUAGCCGGACAUGCCUUAGAG
Molecule: non-coding RNA, 930 nt
Organism: Leptonychotes weddellii (Weddell seal)
Lineage: Eukaryota; Metazoa; Chordata; Mammalia; Carnivora; Phocidae
Source: RefSeq, a predicted model, not a curated record